AAGACUAUAGACCUGCGGAGUACCUGCGGAGGGAUCAUUACCGAGUUAUCAACUCCCAAACCCCUGUGAACAUACCCGAACGUUGCCUCGGCGGGACCGCCCCGGCGCCCCUAGCGGCCCGGAACCAGGCGCCCGCCGGAGGACCCAAACUCUUGCUUUAAACAGUGGCAUACUCUCUGAGUCUCACAAACAAAAAAUAAAUCAAAACUUUUAGCAAUGGAUCUCUAGAUCGGAAGAGCA
Molecule: unclassified non-coding RNA, 240 nt
Filed under: soil metagenome
Description: partial contains 5.8S ribosomal RNA, internal transcribed spacer 2, and large subunit ribosomal RNA
Source: RNAcentral